This 482-nucleotide ribosomal RNA is filed under the name uncultured bacterium. Its description in RNAcentral is "partial 16S ribosomal RNA". It matches the Rfam family "Bacterial small subunit ribosomal RNA", at positions 30 to 507 of the family's 1533-position model. The record is from RNAcentral.
AUUGAACGCUGGCGGCAUGCCUUACACAUGCAAGUCGAACGGAAACAGGUCUUCGGAUGCCGACGAGUGGUGACCGGGUGCGUAAUACUUCGGAAUGUGUCCAGACGUGGGGGAUCACGGGGCGAAACCUUUGCUAAUACCGAAUACGAUCUAAGGAUGAAAACCGGAGACCGCAAGGGCUAGAGCGUUUUUUGCGGUCGAUGGCAGAUUAGGUAGUUGGUGGGAUAAAAGCUUACCAAGUCGACGAUCUGUAGCUGGUCUGAGAGGAGGACCAGCCACACUGGAACUGAGACACGGCCCAGACUCCUACGGGAGGCAGCAGUGGGGAAUUUUGGACAAUGGGCGAAAGCCUGAUCCAGCAAUGCCGCGUGCGUGAUGAAGGCCUUCGGGUUGUAAACUGCUUUUGUACGGAACGAAAAGGCUCUGGCUAAUACCUGGAGCUCAUGACGGUACCGAAAGAAUAAGCACCGGCUAACUACGUG